UCCGUUGGCAAGAUGACUCUGCGCUCUUGUAGAGUCCACCGUGUUGCCCUACCAUCCUUCUGUUAACCCUUUUAAUAAAAAAAGUCUUUUGGGGGCUCAGAUAUUUUACCUUGAGAAAAUUAGAGUGUUUCAGGCAGGCUAGCGCCGGAAUACAUUAGCAUGGAAUAAUAGAAUAGGACUUUAUACCUCUUCUGUUGGUCUGAGGGGAUGAAGUAAUGAUUAAUAGGGAUAGUUGGGGGCAUUAGUACUUUACUGUCAGAGGUGAAAUUCUCGGAUUUGUAAAAGACUAACUUAUGCGAAAGUUUGCCAAGGAUGUUUUCAUUAAUCAAGAACGAAAGUAGGGGGAUCAAAGACGAUCAGAUACCGUCCUAGUCUUAACCAUAAACUAUGCCGACUCGGGAUCGGGGGCGAGAAGUAUCCGCCUUCCGCACCGUAUGAGAAAUCAAAGUCUUUGGGUUCUGGGGGGGAGGAUGGUCCCCAAGGUUAAAAUUAAAGGAAAUUGACGGAAGGGCACCACCAGGCGUGGGAGUUUGCGCUCAAAUUGACUCAACACGGGGAAAAUUACCA
RNAcentral lists this ribosomal RNA (567 nucleotides) under uncultured eukaryote. RNAcentral describes it as "bacterial SSU rRNA". It matches the Rfam family "Eukaryotic small subunit ribosomal RNA", at positions 647 to 1220 of the family's 1831-position model. The record is from RNAcentral.